This 605-nucleotide ribosomal RNA is filed under the name uncultured bacterium. RNAcentral describes it as "bacterial SSU rRNA". It matches the Rfam family "Bacterial small subunit ribosomal RNA", at positions 54 to 654 of the family's 1533-position model. The record is from RNAcentral.
CAUGCAAGUCGAGCGGAGAUGAGGUGCUUGCACCUUAUCUUAGCGGCGGACGGGUGAGUAAUGCUUAGGAAUCUGCCUAUUAGUGGGGGACAGCAUUCCGAAAGGGAUGCUAAUACCGCAUACGUCCUACGGGAGAAAGCAGGGGAUCUUCGGACCUUGCGCUAAUAGAUGAGCCUAAGUCGGAUUAGCUAGUUGGUGGGGUAAAGGCCUACCAAGGCGACGAUCUGUAGCGGGUCUGAGAGGAUGAUCCGCCACACUGGGACUGAGACACGGCCCAGACUCCUACGGGAGGCAGCAGUGGGGAAUAUUGGACAAUGGGGGGAACCCUGAUCCAGCCAUGCCGCGUGUGUGAAGAAGGCCUUAUGGUUGUAAAGCACUUUAAGCGAGGAGGAGGCUACUGAGACUAAUACUCUUGGAUAGUGGACGUUACUCGCAGAAUAAGCACCGGCUAACUCUGUGCCAGCAGCCGCGGUGAUACAGAGGGUGCGAGCGUUAAUCGGAUUUACUGGGCGUAAAGCGUGCGUAGGCGGCUUUUUUAGUCGGAUGUGAAAUCCCCAGCUUAACUUGGGAAUUGCAUUCGAUACUGGGAAGCUAGAGUAUGGGAG